UAUGGAUCGAUAAGUAAAUUUGCAUAAAUCUCAAAGCGCAAGUUGAGAAUUCGAAUAAUCGAACGAUUAGGAGUUUACUUACCGGGCGCUCUCGGGAAGAAUCCACGGUGUGAUAGCGACAGAUAACAGCGGUAUGGCAGUAACUAAUAGAACAUGGAAGAUUUAUCGAGUGAAACCGGUUAUUAUUAAUAUGGAGCAAUUGAUGACGAGCCGAAUGAACGAUACCAUCAACAUAAUUGUAGGAUAAUUGUAAGAUUAUAAAUAUAAUUCCGAUUUUAAAUUAA
Bombus huntii is the source of this 284-nucleotide long non-coding RNA. RefSeq lists it as uncharacterized. The record is from RefSeq and is a predicted model, not a curated record. The transcript is spliced from 2 exons. NCBI's taxonomy places the organism in Eukaryota, Metazoa, Arthropoda, Insecta, Hymenoptera, Apidae.